GCAUCCGUAGCUCAGCUGGAUAGAGUACUCGGCUACGAACCGAGCGGUCGGAGGUUCGAAUCCUCCCGGAUCGCACCC
This 78-nucleotide transfer RNA is filed under the name Salmonella enterica subsp. enterica serovar Agona str. 400100 6-5. RNAcentral describes it as "tRNA-Arg". The stretch from base 3 to 71 matches the Rfam family "tRNA". Rfam says of the family: Transfer RNA (tRNA) molecules are approximately 80 nucleotides in length. Their secondary structure includes four short double-helical elements and three loops (D, anti-codon, and T loops). Lineage: Bacteria; Pseudomonadati; Pseudomonadota; Gammaproteobacteria; Enterobacterales; Enterobacteriaceae. The record is from RNAcentral.